RNAcentral lists this ribosomal RNA (540 nucleotides) under uncultured bacterium. Its description in RNAcentral is "bacterial SSU rRNA". It matches the Rfam family "Bacterial small subunit ribosomal RNA", at positions 473 to 1002 of the family's 1533-position model. The record is from RNAcentral.
GCGGUCCUGAUGAAUAAGCCUCGGCUAAUUCCUGUGCCAGCUGCCUGCGGUAACUCGGGAGAGGCGAGCGUUAUCCGGAAUUAUUAGGGCGUAAACGCGUCCGCAAGGUGGUCAAUUUAACGUCUGUCGUCAAAACGUGGAGCUCAACUCCAUACUCGCGAUGGAAACUGAUUGACUAGAGUACGGUAGGGGUAGCGGGAAUUCCAAGUGUAGCGGUGAAAUGCGUAGAUAUCUGGAAGAACACUAGCGACGAAAGUGCGCUACUGGGACUAUACUGACACUCAUGGACGAAAGCCAGGGCGAGCGAAAGGGAUUAGAUACCCCAUGUAAUCCUGGCCGUAAACGAUGAACACUAAGUGUUGCGCGAAUCGACCCGUGCAGUGCCGUAGCCAACGCGUUAAGUGUUCCGCCUGAGGAGUACGCACGCAAGUGUGAAACUCAAAGGAAUCGACGGGGGCCCGCACAAGCGGUGGAAUAUGUGGUUAAAUCCGAUUGAACCAGAAGAACCUAACCAAUGCUUGACAUACCCCGAAUAUCUGG